RNAcentral lists this ribosomal RNA (385 nucleotides) under uncultured bacterium. Its description in RNAcentral is "bacterial SSU rRNA". It matches the Rfam family "Bacterial small subunit ribosomal RNA", at positions 370 to 772 of the family's 1533-position model. The record is from RNAcentral.
AAUGGGCGAAAGCCUGAUCCAGCAAUGCCGCGUGAGUGAUGAAGGCCUUAGGGUUGUAAAGCUCUUUUACCAGGGAUGAUAAUGACAGUACCUGGAGAAUAAGCUCCGGCUAACUCCGUGCCAGCAGCCGCGGUAAUACGGAGGGAGCUAGCGUUGUUCGGAAUUACUGGGCGUAAAGCGCACGUAGGCGGCUAUUCAAGUCGGGGGUGAAAGCCCGGGGCUCAACCCCGGAACUGCCCUCGAAACUAGGUAGCUAGAAUCUUGGAGAGGCGAGUGGAAUUCCGAGUGUAGAGGUGAAAUUCGUAGAUAUUCGGAAGAACACCAGUGGCGAAGGCGACUCGCUGGACAAGUAUUGACGCUGAGGUGCGAAAGCGUGGGGAGCAAA